RNA transcript from Manis pentadactyla (Chinese pangolin), 3180 nucleotides. It is a transcript of the gene named RAD9 checkpoint clamp component B, with no coding region annotated. The record is from RefSeq and is a predicted model, not a curated record. The transcript has 11 exons. Lineage: Eukaryota; Metazoa; Chordata; Mammalia; Pholidota; Manidae.
AUAAAGCGAAGCAACUCUUUGGCAAAGAGUGGACAUGCACGAGAGAGGAUCUCGAUGCUUUCAAAAGUGCGAGCAACAUCCGGGCAUCUGGGACUGUCGAGCUGAGGCGCCACUUGCGACCCUGCUUGUUGGGGACCGCAGCCAUGCUGAAGUGUGGGAUGAGCGGCGGUCGGGUGAAAGUAUUUGGGAAAGCAAUCCAAGCUCUAUCACGAGUUAGUGACGAGGUGUGGCUAGACCCAUCUGAAAAAGGACUUGCUUUGAGAUCUGUGAAUUCUUGUCGGUCAGCAUAUGGAUGCGUCCUCUUCUCUCCUGUGUUUUUUCAAUAUUAUCAAUGGUCAACCUCAGUGAAGAAGAAUGAUAAGGACACAAUGUCCAACUUAAAUUGCAAACUGGGAAUGAAGUCAAUUCUGCCUAUCUUUAGAUGUCUGAAUUCCCUUGAAAGAAAUGUAGAAAAGUGCAAAAUAUUCACCAGACCUGAAAAGUGCAAAGUCAUUUUUCAAUUCUUCUGCAGACAUGGUAUUAAAAGAACUCAUAAUGUGUGUUUUCAAGAAAGUCAGCCCUUGCAAGUUAUUUUUGAUAAAAAUAUGUGUUCUAAUACACUAAUGAUUCAACCAAGAGUGCUUGCUGAGGCAGCUGUUCUUUUUACAUCAAGUCAAGAAGUUACUCUUGCUGUUACUCCACUGAAUGUUUGCCUUAAGAGUUCUAACGAGGAAUCAGUGGAUUUGGCCAGUUCUGUGUACAGUGAGAUGUUUGUCGGCCCAGAUGAGUUUGAUUUCUUUCAAAUUAGAGUUGAUACUGAAAUAACAUUUUGCUUCAAAGAAUUAAAGGUAAACAAAAAUGUGUCAAAUCAAAAAUUUCACUGGUAUAUUUUUAUGAGGAUUUCAAUUUUUGUUUUUUCCUUCCAGGGAAUGCUGACAUUUUCAGAAGCUACACAUGCUCCUGUAUCUAUUCAUUUUGAUUUUCCUGGGAAACCAAUGUCUUUAAGUAUUGAUGAUAUGUUACUGGAAGCUAACUUUAUUUUGGCUACAUUAGCUGAUGAGCCAAGUAGAGCAUCUUCUCCACAAUCACUGUGUCUUUCACAAAAACGAAAAAGGUCAGAUCUGGUCUGUUCAAAUUCAAGGACUGGUAAAAAUGCAACCAGCAAGGCCCCGGAAUCUAUCUCAAGAAAAGUGGCAUCAAAAAGCCUUUAUCCUAAUGAGACCCUCAGAAACACUUCCACACUGGCAAGCUGUGACAGCCCUAUAACAAAGAAAACAAAUGGAGACGUUACUGAAGUACCAGAAAGCAGUGUCAGCGACGCAGAGGAAGUGCCAGGGUCUCCGUAUCACAGGAAGUUUUCUUGCAUGUUCUUUGGAGCAGUUUCUAAUGAUCAGCAAGAACACAUUAGCUACCCUUUCAACAGUCUGGCAACAGCAAGUGACAGUGAAGAGGACACGAAUGACAGCUUUCCAACAUUCUAACACCGAAUGAUGACUGAGUCGGCCCCAGCCCAUUUGCUGGCUCACCUGCACCUCAAACUGUUUUCACACUUGGUAAAAGGGACCACGAAGAAAACAUGCAGCAGGGGAAGAAAGAAAAAAGACAAUGAAACUGGCGGAAACAGGUCGAUUGCUUCUCUGGAAUAAAGAAAAACAAUACAAGAUACUUCACAUUCGCUCAGUCUUUGGAAACUAAUCAGUUCUAGAAGUUUAGAUUAAUGAUGAGGUUGACACUGAAGCUCUGUUUUAUGCUAAGGUUCUUCUUUCCCCAGGAGUGUCUUUUGCUAUUCUGCCUGUGAGAGACUCGCUACCAUUGGACAGUUCAUCCUCUUCUCCCAACACCCAUGAGCUUGGUGUUCCGCCAGCUGCAUUCUGCCCAUUUUGAUUGAACAUACUGUGCUGCUGGAAACUUUUGACUGCACUGAAACACGAGCUAAAAUCACAUGCUAGCAAGCUGUCUCUGGGCUCCUGGGGAAGCAACCUCCACUUCGCUGGCACGCCAAGCUGAGUGCUGCCCUAACCAGACUCUCCAAAAGAUAGUGUGUGAGAUAGAGCAGGGCUGCCCCAGCAUUUAGAAGCCAAAACAAGAAGAAUCAAAUCAAGGAAAACUAAAACAGUGUCCUCCAAAAACUGUUAGCUGAGCUCUACCAAGGCCUUGGGAUUCUGAGUUCUCCCCACUCCAAUAUGGCUAAUAUUAAUGUGUAUUACAUCCAACUCAAGAAAGAUCUAUAAUAAAAUAUUCUUCCAAUUAUGAUAAUCCAAAAGUAACAAAUGUUUCCUUUUCUCUAGGAGUUAGCAACAGACUUUAGAUAAGCAAUGCUGAAUACCUAAUUAUACAAUACAUUCAUUCAAGUUUAAAGAUGGCAGUAAUAAUCAUUUUAUCUUAGUUUGGACUUAUGAUCUGGCUUACUAAGAACUGUUAAGUAGAGUCAACAUGCAGUUGCUAGAAUGCUCCUCUUUUUACAAAAGGUUCAUUACCCAUUUAACAUUUAUGAAUUACCAACAAUGUUUGUGCCAGGCCCUGUCAGGUUGUUAAAGGCAAUGAAAUCUGAGAUUGUUUUAGCCUUACUCUGAUCUUAGGAAAGAUAAACUGUAAACAUUGAUUAAAAAUGUACAUUUUGGAAGGCUCUAGACAAUUUAAAAAUGAGCUGAGAGAAGGUGUCAGAAGAACACGUCAACAGCAUCAUCACAGAACAUAUCCAAAACUACUUUGACUCCAUUUCCUGCAGGUUAACUUUGCCCUCACAGGUUUCACACAGACUGCAAUUUCUUUUUGAUGCAUAUAAUAGGAGGCCCUGAGAUUCGGGAAGUUAUUCUGAUAAAUAAAGCAAACGUCUGUUUGAGCUCUUCCUUAACAACGUAUGCAAAAUCUUGCACAGGCAGUGGCAUACAUGAACAAUAACUCAUUUCUCAGCACAAUUUAACAAAUACAACUGUAUGUACCAUGUGGUCUUGGUAUGAAAACCUGACACUCUGUAAGCCUGAAGUAGUGUUUUCAUAGUCUUGUCAAACUACUGGGUGUUUAUCAGAAUUCAACUUGGCUGCAAUGUCAAGUUCAAGCAAAAUAUCUUUCAAAGUCAAACUAAAAAGGUCCUCCUGAUAACAUUCUCGGUAUGGCUUCUUUUUUCACAUGAGAAUGGCUAAGGGGAAUGGGAAGGAACCUGUGGGUGAGCCAUGUCCUGCUCACACUUAAUGGCCAAGA